This 634-nucleotide ribosomal RNA is filed under the name uncultured eukaryote. RNAcentral describes it as "SSU rRNA". It matches the Rfam family "Eukaryotic small subunit ribosomal RNA", at positions 341 to 999 of the family's 1831-position model. The record is from RNAcentral.
CUACCAUGGCAGUCACGGGUAACGGAGAAUUAGGGUUCGAUUCCGGAGAGGGAGCCUGAGAAACGGCUACCACAUCUACGGAAGGCAGCAGGAGCGAAAAUUGCCCAAUCCCGACACGGGGAGGCAGUGACGAGAAAUAACAACUCUUGGUUAUUCUAAGAAGUGUAAUGAGGAUAAUUUAAAACCCUUACCGAAAGCAAUUGGAGGGCAAGUCUGGUGCCAGCAGCCGCGGUAAUUCCAGCUCCAAUAGCGUAUAUUAAAGUUGUUGCAGUUAAAAAGCUCGUAGUUGAAGUUCUGGCUGUUUGACCCUCGAGCUCUGUAGCCGAGGGCUCAACAGUCAUCCGCUUGCAAACAUAUGUUCGCCUUUAACCGGGCGGCUAUGUGAGUAAGCAUUUUACCUUGAGAAAAACAGAGUGUUCCAGGCAGGUUUGUCCGGAAUGCAUUAGCAUGGAAUAAUAGAACAUGACUGAAGUCUAUUUAUCGGUUAAAGGCUUUAGUAAUGAUUAAUAGGAACAGUCGGGGGCAUUCGUACUCAGCAGUCAGAGGUGAAAUUCUAAGAUUUGCUGAAGACGAACUAAUGCGAAAGCAUUUGCCAAGGAUGUUUUCAUUAAUCAAGAACGAAAGUUAGGGGAUC